AACGCACCUUGCGCUCCUUGGUAUUCCGAGGAGCAUGCCUGUUUGAGUGUCAUUAAAUUCUCAACCUCACCAGCUUUGUCUGUGUGAAGGCUUGGAUGUGGAGGUUUCUGCAGGCUGCCUCAGCGCGGUCUGCUCCUCUGAAAUGCAUUAGCGAGUUUCACUAAGCUCCGUCUAUUGGUGUGAUAAUUAUCUACGCCGUGGAAGGGGUUUAGACUUGCUUCUAACCGUCCGCAAGGACAGCACUUUGACAAUUUGACCUCAAAUCAGGUAGGACUACCCGCUGAACUUAA
This 290-nucleotide unclassified non-coding RNA is filed under the name uncultured fungus. RNAcentral's name for it is "partial contains 5.8S ribosomal RNA, internal transcribed spacer 2, and large subunit ribosomal RNA". The stretch from base 1 to 52 matches the Rfam family "5.8S ribosomal RNA", at positions 103 to 154 of the family's 154-position model. Lineage: Eukaryota; Fungi. The record is from RNAcentral.